Molecule: unclassified non-coding RNA, 2310 nt
Filed under: Thanatephorus cucumeris
Lineage: Eukaryota; Fungi; Basidiomycota; Agaricomycetes; Cantharellales; Ceratobasidiaceae
Source: RNAcentral
GAUUGGAUAGUUGCUCUAGGGAACCGUGGAGGUACUAUUACGUGAGUAAUACGACCCGACACUUAGUACGGCCUGCUCCAUCCGGGUGCGGUCUGCUAGUUCGUAACAGGACGAAACAGCCCUCUGAGAUGGAAGGCUAAUGGCGAUCAAGUAUCUACUACCCCGCAAGGGACGAUUAGAAGCUUUGUGAGCCUCCGCACAUCCUACGGGAUAAUAACUUGCUGCAUUAGUGAUAGAUUUCUCAAAAGCGAGCAGGCAGAAGGUUAAUAAACCUUACUACCUUCGGGGAGAAAAGGAAUCCUGUUCGGAACUCCAGUUCAGGACCCGUCACCACAAUUAAUACGGUGGUGUUACUGCUUGCCUAUGAGAGAUCUUCCUCCUUUUGUAACCGUCAGCCGGCAUAAUACUUAACAUGAACAAACUAAAUUUAAACCAAAAAGGGAUAAAUCUGUUGUCUCUAUUAAGUACUAAGUACGUGGAGGUUUCCAAAAUGAUACCGCUUUCCGAUAAACUCGGAACUACUCUAUUCAAACCAUUGGGGUAUAAUAACAUAUUAUCCCAUGGUAGAAUUGGUAGAUUGGCAAGUGGGAUAAGAAGAACGAAUCUCUUUAUACACUUUACACUGACUAUGUGGAGAACACACGGAACGGCCUUUACCAUAAAAUGGUUGAAAGGAUGCUCUGUGGCUAUCCAAAAAUGUCUAGGUAAAGAUAUAUUGAAAUCUUUAAGAGUCUUGACACCAGACUUACCUUUGAAUGGGUUGUCGCGUGGUCUUCCUAGAAUUAUACCUGUCGAUGACAGAGUACGUAUUCGAAGAGGUCACGUACCAACAAUCCGGUUCUGGCUCGGUUUAUUUAACCUUUACCGGGUGCUAAAAGCACCUGGUGAGCUGAAACUGGGAACCAUUACUGAUAAAUUCUCCGGGGAUAGAGAUGGGUUACGAGCUCUAAUGCGUUUAGCACUAAAGUUCAACCCUUUUGCAAAAUUUAAUAAAUUAGGCAAAGAAUCUCUUGCUCCUCAGAAAUUUAUUAUGUCUAGAUCGGCUUCGCCGUCUAACAAAGUGUCCUGGUUUGGGAUCCUAACGGAUACCAGACUUCUUAGAGAGGAUUCUCCCAGAUUAUGGGAAAACAUCCAAACUUACCUAACCANNNNNNNNNNNNNNNNNNNNNNNNNNNNNNNNNNNNNNNNNNNNNNNNNNNNNNNNNNNNNNNNNNNNNNNNNNNNNNNNNNNNNNNNNNNNNNNNNNNNNNNNNNNNNGUCUCGAAAUCGGGACGAGUUCUCACUCAGAUUGACUCAAUGAAAUCGAAAGAUUCCAUUAGAGGCCAUGGGCUUGGCCCUGGUCUUGCUGUUUCGCAAUUUGCGCUUAAAGAAGAAGCUGCCGGAAAACUCCGGCUUUUCGCUUUAAUGGAUUCAGUAACACAAAGUGUUAUGAGUCCUCUCCAUGAUUACAUGUUUGCCAUUUUACGGAAUAUUCCGAACGAUGGGACAUUUGAUCAGGAGGCAUCGAUUGCGAGAUCACAAGAAAAGGCUGUUGCCGCUGGUAAAGCGUUCAGCUAUGAUCUAACUGCUGCUACGGAUCGACUACCUGUAAUCCUUACCGCAUUCAUACUCUCUACAAUUGUAGGGAUUAGAAUGUUUGGGGGUCUUUGGAGGUCGAUUUUGGUCAAAAGACCUUUUGGUUUUAACAGCCAGGUGGCUGAAAAACUAAAAGUCUCUGACGGUCCGUACUUCUACGAGGUAGGGCAACCUAUGGGUGCUCUAUCUUCUUGGCCCGGUCUUGCACUAACGCAUCACUGGAUUGUCCAAGUUGCCGCUGUUAGAGUUACAAAUUCUAAGAGUUGGAACACCGAGUACGAAAUACUUGGUGAUGAUAUCGUGAUAUUCAAUGAGCAUAUUGCCCAAGAAUAUUUAAAUAUCAUGGCUGUCCUCGGGUGUGAGAUUAAUUUAAAUAAAUCGAUCUCUUCCCGUUGCCGUCCCGUUUUCGAAUUCGCAAAACGAACCUGUUGGAGCUUUGCAAUCGUAAGUGGAAUCUCCCUAGCUCAAAUUAGAGCUGGAUGGAGAGUCGGAGGUCGUGUAGCUAAUGCUCUGCAAUUUGCAAGAGCAGGACUACUGUACCCCGGUGAAUCCCUGUUGCAAGCUAUCCUUUCAAGAAAUACCUUUUCAAAAGGUAGAGUAUUGCCAGGUUACAAGACGGAGUCCGUAACCUCACAAAAGGCUCUAGCCUUAGGGGUACUGGCGUUGUUAGGGGAGAGAUUCCAAUCUGGAAUCAUCCCGCUAAGAACGGUAAUGCACGCGAUCAUAGAUCCUAUU